RNAcentral lists this ribosomal RNA (235 nucleotides) under Candidatus Woesearchaeota archaeon. RNAcentral's name for it is "partial 16S ribosomal RNA". It matches the Rfam family "Archaeal small subunit ribosomal RNA", at positions 1 to 244 of the family's 1478-position model. Lineage: Archaea; Nanobdellati; Candidatus Woesearchaeota. The record is from RNAcentral.
GAGUUCCCGUUGAUCCUGCGGGAGAUGGCUGCUAUGAGUAUCCGAUUUAGCCAUGCAAGUCUAGUAGCAAUACUGGCGAACUGCUCAGUAACACGUCGGUAACCUGCCCUAUGGUCGAGCAUAACCUCGGGAAACUGAGGGUAAUUCUCGAUAGAAGAUUCUUCCUGGAAUGGUGUUUCUUCCAAACACGUGCCAUAGGAUGGGCCGGCGGCUGAUUAGGCUGUUGGUGGGGUAA